RNAcentral lists this ribosomal RNA (434 nucleotides) under uncultured Lachnospiraceae bacterium. Its description in RNAcentral is "partial 16S ribosomal RNA". It matches the Rfam family "Bacterial small subunit ribosomal RNA", at positions 341 to 792 of the family's 1533-position model. The record is from RNAcentral. Lineage: Bacteria; Bacillati; Bacillota; Clostridia; Lachnospirales; Lachnospiraceae.
ACGGAAGGCAGCAGUGGGGAAUAUUGCACAAUGGGCGAAAGCCUGAUGCAGCGACGCCGCGUGAGUGAAGAAGUAUCUCGGUAUGUAAAGCUCUAUCAGCAGGGAAGAAAAUGACGGUACCUGACUAAGAAGCCCCGGCUAACUACGUGCCAGCAGCCGCGGUAAUACGUAGGGGGCAAGCGUUAUCCGGAUUUACUGGGUGUAAAGGGAGCGUAGACGGUUUGGCAAGUCUGAAGUGAAAUGCGGGGGCUCAACUCCUGAACUGCUUUGGAAACUGUCGAACUAGAGUGCAGGAGAGGUAAGUGGAAUUCCUAGUGUAGCGGUGAAAUGCGUAGAUGUUAGGAGGAACACCAGUGGCGAAGGCGGCUUACUGGACUGUAACUGACGUUGAGGCUCGAAAGCGUGGGGAGCAAACAGGAUUAGAUACCCUGGUA